This 455-nucleotide ribosomal RNA is filed under the name uncultured bacterium. Its description in RNAcentral is "bacterial SSU rRNA". It matches the Rfam family "Bacterial small subunit ribosomal RNA", at positions 29 to 524 of the family's 1533-position model. The record is from RNAcentral.
AACGAACGCUGGCGGCAGGCCUAACACAUGCAAGUCGAACGCUCGUAGCAAUACGAGAGUGGCAGACGGGUGAGUAACACGUGGGAACCUUCCCUAUGGUUCGGAAUAGCUCAGGGAAACUUGGGGUAAUACCGGAUAAGCCCUUCGGGGAAAGGAUUUAUCGCCAUUGGAUGGGCCCGCGUCGGGUUAGCUAGUUGGUGAGGUAACGGCUCACCAAGGCAACGAUCCGUAGCUGGUCUGAGAGGAUGAUCAGCCACACUGGGACGUGAGACACGGCCCAGACUCCUACGGGAGGCAGCAGUGGGGAAUAUUGGACAAUGGGCGGCAAGCCUGAUCCAGCCAUGCCGCGUGAGUGACGAAGGUCUUCGGAUUGUAAAACUCUUUUGGCGGGGACGAUAAUGACGGUACCCGCAGAAUAAGCCCCCGGCUAACUUCGUGCCAGCCGCCGCAGUAAU